This 212-nucleotide ribosomal RNA is filed under the name Ctenophora environmental sample. RNAcentral describes it as "partial Bacterial large subunit ribosomal RNA". It matches the Rfam family "Bacterial large subunit ribosomal RNA", at positions 2145 to 2356 of the family's 2925-position model. Lineage: Eukaryota; Metazoa; Ctenophora. The record is from RNAcentral.
AGGUGGGAGGCUAUGAAACCGGAACGCUAGUUUCGGUGGAGCCGUCCUUGAAAUACCACCCUGGUUUGUUUGAGGUUCUAACCUUGGCCCGUGAUCCGGGUCGGGGACAGUGCAUGGUAGGCAGUUUGACUGGGGCGGUCUCCUCCCAAAGUGUAACGGAGGAGCUCGAAGGUACACUCAGCAUGGUUAGCAAUCAUGCGUAGAGCGUAAGG